CCUACGGGUGUCAGCAGUGGGGAAUAUUGGGCAAUGGGCGCAAGCCUGACCCAGCAACGCCGCGUGAAGGAAGAAGGCUUUCGGGUUGUAAAAUUCUUUUCUGAGGGACGAAGAAAGUGACGGUACCUCAGGAAUAAGCCACGGCUAACUACGUGCCAGCAGCCGCGGUAAUACGUAGGGGGCAAGCGUUAUCCGGAUUUAUUGGGUGUAAAGGGCGUGUAGGCGGGAAAGCAAGGCAGAUGUGAAAACUCAGGGCUCAACCCUGGGCCUGCAUUUGAAACUGUUUUUCUUGAGUGCUGGAGAGGCAAGCGGAAUUCCGGGUGUAGCGGUGAAAUGCGUAGAUAUACGGAGGAACACCAGUGGCGAAGGCGGAUUGCUGGACAGUAACUGACGCUGAGGCGCGAAAGCGUGGGGAGCAAACAGGAUUAGAUACCCCGGUAGUC
RNAcentral lists this ribosomal RNA (443 nucleotides) under uncultured bacterium. Its description in RNAcentral is "partial 16S ribosomal RNA". It matches the Rfam family "Bacterial small subunit ribosomal RNA", at positions 338 to 795 of the family's 1533-position model. The record is from RNAcentral.